CAAAAUAACUUGCCAAAUUAUAUUAUGCUUUUAAAAUAAAAAAUAAAUAAAUAAAUAAAUAAAAAUAACAAUAGUUCUAAGAAAAGAUUAUUUAAAAAAAAAUAUUUAUUUUUAAGAUUUAGAGUUUAGUAUUUAAGAUUUAUAAUUUAGAAUUUAUCCAAAUGUUUAGUGUUUUUCCAAGGGUUUAGGGUUUACCCAAGGGUUUAGGGUUUACCCAAAGGUUUAAGAUUUUCCCAAGGGUUUAGGGUUUAGGAUUAGAGUUUAGGGUUUAGUGUUUUGUUGACAACAUGUUUAGUGUUUUUCCAAGGGUUUAGGGGUUUAUCCAAGGAUUUAGGGUUUACCCAAGGAUUUAGGGUUUAGGAUUUGAGUUUAGGGUUUAGUAUUAGAGUUUAGGGUUUAGUGUUUUGUUGACAACAUUAUUUUUUUUUUGAAUUCGUUUUUUAUAUAUUAUUUUUCUUUAUUUUUAAAUUUUUUUUUGAAAAAAUAAUAUAAUUUGCCAAGUUAUUUGGUUUACUUAAUUAAAAGAUACUAGAUUUAAAAUGACAAUUUUCUAUUGGUUGGUGAACCGAAAGGUUCACCCUAAGGGGUGAACCCAAAAAUAACUCAAUUAUUAAUUAAAAACAUUAAAUUAAAUAAAAAAUAGCUACAAAAAAUAAAAACGUUAAUUUUAACGACGCUAACGCUUUCAGCUAAACCCUAAACCCUAAAUCUUAAAUUCUAAAUCUUAUACCCUAAAUUCUAAACCCAAAUUCAAACCCCUAAACCCAAACCCUAUACCCUAAACCCAAAUUAUAUACCCUAAACCCAAAAACAAGACUAAACCUAAACUCUAUACCUUAAACCCAAGUCCUAGAC
Molecule: long non-coding RNA, 855 nt
Filed under: Brassica napus (rape)
Lineage: Eukaryota; Viridiplantae; Streptophyta; Magnoliopsida; Brassicales; Brassicaceae
Description: long non-coding RNA (BNAP_LNC022238)
Source: RNAcentral